This 149-nucleotide unclassified non-coding RNA is filed under the name uncultured Hyaloscyphaceae. Its description in RNAcentral is "sequence contains ITS2". Lineage: Eukaryota; Fungi; Ascomycota; Leotiomycetes; Helotiales. The record is from RNAcentral.
CAACCCUCAAGCAAUGCUUGGUAUUGGGCUUCGCUACUCACCUAGCGGGCCUUAAAAUCAGUGGCGGUGCCGUCGUGGCUCUGAGCGUAGUAAAAUAUCCUCGCUACAGAGACUUGGUGGAUACUGGCCAUCAACCCCCCACACUCUAA